GCCCGCGCCCCUGCAAACCGCCUCCUCUCCUGUUGCCACCGCCGCCUUGUCCUCGUCCGCCUCCACUUCUACCACCGCCGCCGCCUCGGCCUCGGCCGGCCCGUGCUCUGCCGACGCUCGUCGGCCUCGAUCCGGCCUCGGUAGAAGGAGCUCGCCCUCGAGACUCGGCAGGAGGAGCUUGCCCUCGAGUAGGACUCGACAGGAGGAGGGGAGUAGCAGCCUCGCCCCGUGCUCCGCCGGUGCCCGUCGGCCUCGACCCGUCCUCGGCAGGAGAGUGCUUGGGGGAGGAGAGGAAGGCGGCGCUCCAGGGUGCUGGGCAGAGAGAGAUGGCGGCGGCGGCAGGAGCAGCUCGUCUCUCCUCUUCGUCUCAUCUCAUGGAUGAGGGCGUUGGCUCGAGAAGCUCUAGGAGUGGAAGACGUCUUCCUUCAGAAUUUUGUGGAGGAUUUUGUUGCAACAACACUGUCCUGACUAUUUGUGUUUUUUGGAAUUUGUUAAUGAGAUUCUGGUUAAGCGCUUUGACUUGGCCAGUGAUCUUGUCUCAAAUUACAAUUUUGGAAUUUCUCAAUGAAAUUCUACAAUCAGGUAAACCUUUUGUUUGGACUAUUUGUCGAUAGAAUAUUCGAGGCACUUGACUAGAUGUUGUAUACCAAGCAGUUCAUCAGUUCUCUUGCUGGCCUGCAGUGUUCGCCAUCAUGUAAUUUUAAGAACAAAAUUCAGAGAAAACUUACUGCAUGUUAUGCGUGGGCCAUUGAGGAGUUCUGAUAGUCUUUACAUUAUAAUGUUUUUGGUGCAGACCAUCGAUUUUACUAAGUCUUUGUUUGUUAAUUUCCGCAAAUUUCAGCAUGAAUAUGCAUUCAUACUCGUUCUCAGUUAUCCAUAUAGCCAUUUUCUUACAUGUGCAGUAUGCAAUCAUGUUCUUUUCUUGAGAUGCUUUUGGCCUGUUAGUCUUUCAUUUGAAGGAGAAUCACCAAGAGGAAUUGAGACUAUUAUCAAAAAUCCUCAUUUUGUAGAAGGGUUAAGCAAUUGGUCCAGACAAGAUGUAAUAUCCGCAGGCAUGAGUUAACUGCAUAUGGGAAUGUAAAUCACAUAAAUGGCAGCUACUUUGCGUCAGCAACUGGACAGGUUCACAGUUGGAAUGGCAUACAACAAGAUAUCACAGGCAGAGUGUAAAGAAAAGUUUCUUACGAGAUUAGUUCUCCUGUUUGCAGAUUUGGCAAUGCUAAUGAUACUGAAGUUCAUGCUACUUUGUGGGUAUGAGAAUAUGGCUGUGAACAAUAUCUAUGCAUUUCAAAGGUUACAGAUGCCACAAGGCUUGCCUAACAAAGGUUCGCUGAAAAGGAAUGGCUUGACAAAAAAAGGUGGUUCUUUCUUCCAUUAACUGUUUCAAUCCUCUCUUUUUUCAUUUUCGUCCUUAAAGGAAUGCUAAUGCUUAUGUUUUACUAUCUAUAAAAUAAAAAUAUGCCAGCUGGCUUCUUAAGGGGGCUUGCUGUUGAUUUUUUUUGUUGGAUUAGAUGGUUGCCAGUAUACAUAGCAUCUUGAGUGUCUUGUUGAUGUUCUGAAUAAAGCAAUUGACGAAAUAUGUGUAAACUAUGUUUUGUUUAACAAAAAAAAUCCUUAUCCACUUCACUCUUGUUACCUUAUAUGACAUACAGGGCUAUCAUUCGUCUGGGUUAAAGCAGUUGUUGUGAUCAGGCAGAGAGAAUUUGAGAGCAUCAACAAAAAUCCUUAUCGGCUACACUUCAUAAAUGUUUUCUCAGUGGCUGUUUGAUAUAGAUGUUUCAUUCAUUGCAUUAGAACAUAUGAUUCUGGGAGCAAAUUAUCUUCGCUGAUCUGUUUUAGAGAGAUGCCUGAUUAGCUGCACAAGCAUACAUGGUUCUGUUAAUAAUUUGUUUGCCUUGAUCAUCUUGAUAUUCAGUUAUGUUGGUAUGGUCAGAAAACAAGCUUCAAAAGUAUUUAUGAUGACCGUUUGCAUGGUGGGUCUUGUCAGCAAUAUGCUUUGCAUAUUCAUGAUUCAACCAUUUGUUGGAUGUUUUAGUUUACAUGUUUCUCCGGAAAAUGUUUGUAUGUCUAUGUAGUCGUUUUGGAAUGGGCUAUGAUUCUUUUUUAGUAUUUUAGUUUACACCACUAUAUUGGUAUAGUAUAGGUUUGUACUGUUUCCUUGGGAAUCUAUAGAUCCAGUCAAGCUGGGAUAGGAUACAUUUGUUUUACUCGGUCAUGGCGAUGGCACUCGAUACCGAGGACAUGGCAACAGGUCAAGAGUCCAUCUUUUUUAUACAUUUUUGCAGGCUUUCCUCUCGAAAUGCAGAACUCUUUUUCGCUCCCCAUCGAUGACGGUCUUCUUGUAUGAACAUUUUCAUCUAUGCUCCCUAUUUUCCUUGCUCCACUAAAUAAAAUUUUUAGUACCAAAAUGGUGUUGAUUAAUCAUUUUCUACACCUAUAUAUGUGUGUUUCAGGGUGUUUACCUUUGCGGUUAUCAUUAUGAGGCCUUGUAUGGAGCAAUACCUUAUAUUAUAGUUCACCCAGAAGGGAACAUAAUGGUUGACAGGUAAAUAGAUUCAACCUAUGAAGUCGCUCCUCGGCUACAAGGUUGUAUAUGUUUCUGAUAGAAGUUCAGUUUAAGCACAAGUAAUAGUAUUGAACGAUUUGCAUAGCAUGGUGACAUAAAGGAAGUAAGUAAUAGAUCCCUCUAGCGUAUAUGUGUAGUUUACGGUUUGUCGUUAAUUGAUUUUUGGUCGGAACCUUGAUGGGCACAUCAGCCAUGGUUCUUGCCUCUUAUUUGGAGAGCAUGAACAAAUUGGAAAAUCAGUAGUGAUGGCAGAGAAAAUACUAAGUUUGCUUCCAUUCAUAUUAUCAGCGGCUACAUUCUCUUGGAUAGUAAUGUUGGUUUACAUGUUGAUAUCUUUUUACUUUUCCCUUACUAAAAUAAUUACUUUACCUAGGAGGCUACAUUCUGAUAUUAUCACUACGUAUUACACAUGAUUUUAGAGGAGGCUAAAACAACUUAGUAAUAAUCGUGCACAUAUACAUCACUAUCUGGAAAUGAUUUUAUGGGACGAGCACCGGACUUGUGUUUGACAAUAUAUGCUGAAAUGUUAUGUGUUCUUUACCUUUAGAUUUAUCACUCUAGGUGAAGUGAAUUUUGUUUGUAAGGAGCACGAGAGGCGAGGCCUGGCCGAAGUGGAGGAUGUCCCAUGGUGAGGGGAGGGGAGGGCAAGGCAGAGACAUGCAACAUCGAGGGUUGCAACCGUCAGCGGAAGACACCUUCUAAAAUUCCCACUCACAACGGUUAGAUGCUACUCUAUUCCUCUCCAUUGUCAUUGACGCUAUUACAAUUACAGGUUUAAGCCUCUUUGUCCCUCUCCUAUAAUCUAGCAAUAUAUCAGUUCUUAAAUUGAUUCAGUUCUUCAGCAUACAUAGCAUUCAAAUGCUUGAUGUUUUAAGUUUUAACUCUUUGGGUGGCCUUGCUUGAUAUUCUCCUCAUGUCUAUAGAUUGUUACAACGGAAUAACUUGUCAGACUCUUUGCAUGUUUAUAAGCUUAUCAGUUCAUUUUUCAAGAUUAUAUCAAUGAUGUCGCUUCCAGGUUGUUGAUAAUGCAUUGGAACAGUAACCGCAAAGUUUGGUCUUUGUAUUAUUUCUCUAUACAUUUGAUUUGGAUUUGUCCUGAUUUACGUAGAGAAGCCUCUGUCAAUACUGAAGUGUUUUUUGUUCAUUCUGUUGUUGGUCUCCAGACAUUUGUAUUUUGAGAAUCAUUCUGAAACCAGGGUUCAAAGCACUAAGAAAAUAUGAUUCUAUUUCUGAAUCUUGUGCUAAUGCUUCAAAGGGAGAUGUAGAAACAGAAUCAUAACUGUUCACCCAAUGUAUCUUCUAGCAGACUAAAAGGUUUGGUUCCUACUCCAUUCAAUGUCUAUGUGAUUAGUAACGUGGUCCACAUCUUUCACUCAUAAUUUUAUUAUUAUUAUUAUUAUUAUGUUUUGCAUAAUAACAUUGUAAUGCCCAGUAAGGUACUGAGGUGUUAUGUAACUGCAGUCCUGUAAUGAAUUUAAGUUUCAGUUCAAGUUGUUCACCAGGUUGUUAUUCCUCAUUCCUAAUAUUUUCUUUUCAUAACUUGCAUACUGAGGCAGAACAACAAUAAGAACAUUUGUUAGCUUUUUCAUGUGCAGGUUCAGCAGAGGGCAAUGCUCGAGAUAGAGUUGGGCUUACAAGAUAUAUAUACGUACGUCGUCACUUCUGAAUAAACAGAGAUGAGCAGCAACAGAGAUGUCUAUCCGACUGCCAUCCUUCCUUUACUUGGAUUCUUUUGUAAUUUUAGAGGUUAUUCUACAGCUUCUACAUGGAAGACGAUACAAAUAAGAGGGCAUUCUACAGAAGAUUGGACGAUGAUAUGGAAGGCAUUUGUAAUUUGGGCAAUGACGGCCCACCAAACACACCCACCAUGAAGAGCUGCUUAGACGCCGAGGUCAUCUUAUGUUAAUCACCCCGUAUCUUAGUGGCUGUAAGUUGAAUGGCCAGAGUUAUCUAUAUGAUGCAUCACUUCCUAUGUAGCUUGGUUUUUAAAAGCAAUGUAAAUUAGCUGUCAUGGACCAAUCUAAUGUGCUUAUGACACUAUGUAUGAACAAUCAUAUCUAAGUUUCUAUUUCCUAAUGCUUCAAGAAUUUUAUGACUGGUGGUUUGAAUACU
Molecule: long non-coding RNA, 4678 nt
Organism: Triticum aestivum (bread wheat)
Lineage: Eukaryota; Viridiplantae; Streptophyta; Magnoliopsida; Poales; Poaceae
Exons: 4
Source: RefSeq, a predicted model, not a curated record